CGUAUGGGGCAAGCGUUAUCCGGAUUUACUGGGUGUAAAGGGAGCGUAGGCGGCCUGGCAAGCCUGAUGUGAAAUACCGGGGCCCAACCCCGGGGCUGCAUUGGGAACUGCCAGGCUGGAGUGCCGGAGAGGCAGGCGGAAUUCCUAGUGUAGCGGUGAAAUGCGUAGAUAUUAGGAGGAACACCAGUGGCGAAGGCGGCCUGCUGGACGGUGACUGACGCUGAGGCUCGAAAGCGUGGGGAGCAAA
RNAcentral lists this ribosomal RNA (247 nucleotides) under uncultured bacterium. RNAcentral's name for it is "partial 16S ribosomal RNA". It matches the Rfam family "Bacterial small subunit ribosomal RNA", at positions 526 to 772 of the family's 1533-position model. The record is from RNAcentral.